RNAcentral lists this ribosomal RNA (496 nucleotides) under uncultured bacterium. RNAcentral's name for it is "partial 16S ribosomal RNA". It matches the Rfam family "Bacterial small subunit ribosomal RNA", at positions 28 to 506 of the family's 1533-position model. The record is from RNAcentral.
GAUGAACGCUGGCGGCGUGCCUAAUACAUGCAAGUCGAGCGAACAGAUGAGGAGCUUGCUCCUCUGACGUUAGCGGCGGACGGGUGAGUAACACGUGGAUAACCUACCUAUAAGACUGGGAUAACUUCGGGAAACCGGAGCUAAUACCGGAUAAUAUAUUGAACCGCAUGGUUCAAUAGUGAAAGACGGUUUUGCGGUCACUUAUAGAUGGAUCCGCGCCGCAUUAGCUAGUUUGUAAGGUAACGGCUUACCAAGGCAACGAUGCGUAGCCGACCUGAGAGGGUGAUCGGCCACACUGGAACUGAGACACGGUCCAGGCUCCUACGGGAGGCCGCAGUAGGGAAUCUUCCGCAAUGGGCGAAAGCCUGACGGAGCAACGCCGCGUGGGUGAUGAAGGUCUUCGGAUCGUAAAACUCUGUUAUUAGGGAAGAACAAAUGUGUAAGUAACUAUGCACGUCUUGACGGUACCUAAUCAGAAAGCCACGGCUAACUACGU